This is a non-coding RNA of Pygocentrus nattereri (red-bellied piranha), 540 nucleotides long. The record is from the annotation of a RefSeq genome assembly. Lineage: Eukaryota; Metazoa; Chordata; Actinopteri; Characiformes; Serrasalmidae.
CGAUGUGUCUGUGCUCUCUGAUUGUCUUUAUGAUCAUACUAAGGAACUGUGUUUCACAGUUAAUAGCACCACUAGAGGACAAAAUGCAGGUGCAUGCUCUCGAAGGUGAGAGAGCUAAUCUCUCCUGCCAGUAUGAGAAAGCAAACUAUCUGUUUUGGUACCGUCAGUAUCCUGGAUCCAGACCAGAGUAUCUACUGACGAUCAUCCCAUCAACAAAAUCUGUAACUCCAGUCCUCCAGCAACUGAAAGCUGAAGUGGAUGGAAACAGAGUGGAUCUGUUGAUCUCCUCUGCUGCAGUAUCAGACUCUGCACUCUACUACUGUGCCAUGAGGCCCACAGUGACAGGAAACCCAGCUACACUGUACACAAAGUGUUUCAUAUGACUCACACAGGGCAGUGCUGUUAUCAACAGGGGGAGCUAUUUGUCUUUUUUCAUUUAGACUUUCAGCUUUUUAAACCUCCAGGCUAGAAUACUAGAUUGCUCUGGAACACAACUCUUUAUCAAGUUGACAACAAAAAGCUGAUGCUGCUUUUCUAAAC